RNAcentral lists this ribosomal RNA (253 nucleotides) under uncultured bacterium. Its description in RNAcentral is "partial 16S ribosomal RNA". It matches the Rfam family "Bacterial small subunit ribosomal RNA", at positions 524 to 776 of the family's 1533-position model. The record is from RNAcentral.
GACGAACCGUGCUAACGUUGUUCGGAAUCACUGGGCUUAAAGGGCGCGUAGGCGGACGGUAAAGUCAGGGGUGAAAUCCCAUAGCUCAACUAUGGAAGUGCCUUUGAUACUGACUGUCUCGAGGGAGGUAGGGGCAUGCGGAACUUCCGGUGGAGCGGUGAAAUGCGUAGAUAUCGGAAGGAACGCCGGUGGCGAAAGCGGCGUGCUGGACCUCUUCUGACGCUGAGGCGCGAAAGCUAGGGGAGCGAACGGG